UUCUAAGGGCGGUGAAGUCAGACCGGAAGGACUGGUGGAGCGCUUAGAAGUGAGAAUGCCGGUAUGAGUAGCGAAAGAAGGGUGAGAAUCCCUUCCACCGAAUAUCUAAGGUUUCCUGAGGAAGGCUCGUCCGCUCAGGGUUAGUCGGGACCUAAGCCGAGGCCGAUAGGCGUAGGCGAUGGACAACAGGUAGAGAUUCCUGUACCAGUGCUAAUUGUUUAACCGAUGGGGUGACACAGAAGGAUAGGGAAUCGCACGAAUGGAAAUGUGCGUCCAAGCAGUGAGUGUGAGAAGUAGGCAAAUCCGCUUCUUGCGAAGCAUGAGCUGUGAUGGGGAAGGAAAUUAAGUACGGAAGUUCCUGAUUUCACGCUGUC
This 374-nucleotide ribosomal RNA is filed under the name Listeria innocua. RNAcentral's name for it is "partial 23S ribosomal RNA". It matches the Rfam family "Bacterial large subunit ribosomal RNA", at positions 1239 to 1609 of the family's 2925-position model. The record is from RNAcentral. Lineage: Bacteria; Bacillati; Bacillota; Bacilli; Caryophanales; Listeriaceae.